ACGUAGGGGACGAGCGUUGUCCGGAUUUACUGGGCGUAAAGGGCGCGUAGGCGGGCAUUUAAGUCAGCUGUGAAAUCUAUUGGCUUAACCCGUAGACUGCGCUUGAAACUGGGUUUCUUGAGGGCAGGAGAGGAAAGUGGAAUUCCUAGUGUAGCGGUGAAAUGCGUAGAUAUUAGGAGGAACACCAGUGGCGAAGGCGACUUUCUGGACUGUACCUGACGCUGAGGCGCGAAAGCGUGGGGAGCGAACAG
This 251-nucleotide ribosomal RNA is filed under the name uncultured prokaryote. RNAcentral describes it as "partial 16S rRNA". It matches the Rfam family "Bacterial small subunit ribosomal RNA", at positions 525 to 775 of the family's 1533-position model. The record is from RNAcentral.